CCCUUAGACGUCCUGGGCCGCACGCGUGCUACACUGAUACGUACAACAAGGUAUAUGCAUUCAUGCAUCGAUGCUGCUCCGAAAUAGACACAGCUAAAUCUUCUAAAAUACGUAUCGUGCUGCGGAUAGAUCGUUGAAAUUAUGGAUCUUGAAGGUGGAAUUCCUAGUAAGCGCGGGUCAUCAACCCGCAUUGAUUACGUCCCUGCCCUUUGUACACACCGCCCGUCGCACCUACCGAUUGAAUGGUCCGGUGAAAUCUCGGGACGGCGGCUUGGUCGCUUGCGUCCGACUGCCGAAACUUGAUUAAACCAUAUCAUUUAGAGGAAGGUGAAGUCGUAACA
RNAcentral lists this ribosomal RNA (341 nucleotides) under uncultured eukaryote. Its description in RNAcentral is "partial 18S ribosomal RNA". It matches the Rfam family "Eukaryotic small subunit ribosomal RNA", at positions 1470 to 1796 of the family's 1831-position model. The record is from RNAcentral.